This 366-nucleotide long non-coding RNA is filed under the name Gallus gallus (chicken). RNAcentral describes it as "long non-coding RNA NONGGAT004050". The record is from RNAcentral. Lineage: Eukaryota; Metazoa; Chordata; Aves; Galliformes; Phasianidae.
CUGCGUAAUACCUUCUUUGAUGUUGAGGUGGUUAAGUGAACAUGUUACAUUUUUGAUGUGUUUCUAGUCAUGUUUUAAUGUGUUGUAUUCUGUUUAGACAAUCCCUGUGGAGCUGAUAGCUGUGGACUAAUGACUGGUAUACCAAGCAGAUAAGCUGUGGACAUUUUUCAGUGUUAACAUAAUGACUUUCAUCAAAGGAGGAAGAAGUCUACUUAUUUUUCAUUUUGUUAAGGUGAAAUCCUCAUAUUGUAUGGAUUGCUCAGACUUCACCAAAUUCCAUAGAACUAUGACAAGUAACAGCAGUUGAUGAUCUACCCAACAUGUGUACCAUGUUGGCCAACACAGCAAAAAUGUAAAUUCUGCCUU